CUGCAGCCAGAGGGGUUUUUAUUGAGACCCAAAGUGUUGGUUCUGGUUUGAAAAAAUACAAACAAGUCAGAGCGUCUUGUCCCCGACAGCAGAAUGUGUGGUGCAGCAGACCAUUCUACACCACAGAAUAAUAGUGAGGUACAUCAGUCUAUUCUACACCACAGAAUUAAAGGAUAAUAGUGAGGUACAUCAGUCUAUUCUACACCACAGAAUUAAAGGAUAAUAGUGAGGUACAUCAGACUAUUCUACACUACAGAUUUAAAGGAUAAUAGUGAGGUACAUCAGUCUAUUCUACACCACAGAAUUAAAGGAUAAUAGUGAGGUACAUCAGACUAUUCUACACUACAGAUUUAAAGGAUAAUAGUGAGGUACAUCAGUCUAUUCUACACUACAGAUUUAAAGGAUAAUAGUGAGGUACAUCAGUCUAUUCUACACUACGGAAUUAAACAAUAAUAAUGAGGUACAUCAGACCAUUCUACACUACAGAUUUAAAGGAUAAUAGUGAGGUACAUCAGUCUAUUCUACACUACAGAUUUAAAGGAUAAUAGUGAGGUACAUCAGUCUAUUCUACACUACGGAAUUAAUGAAUAUAGUGAGGUGCCACAAAUCAUUCUACACUAUAUAGUAUUUAUCCUGUCACUUGUAGGUUGUAAUUGGACCUUUUUAGUGGACUUUAGUGCUUGUUUCAUACAAGAUCACUUGUCAGAGGUCAUUAACCACCACAGAAAUCUUUGUCAUGUCGCCCAUUGCUAGCUAAACUCUCACAAUGAAUGCUAGUGUGGUACAGCAGAAAAUUCUACACUAAAUAAUUACAGAAUGAUAGUAAAGUACAGCAGUCCAUUCCAUACUGCAGAAUGAUGGUGAGGAACAGCAGACCAUUCUACACUACA
Acanthochromis polyacanthus (spiny chromis) is the source of this 890-nucleotide long non-coding RNA. RefSeq lists it as uncharacterized. NCBI's taxonomy places the organism in Eukaryota, Metazoa, Chordata, Actinopteri, Pomacentridae. The transcript is spliced from 6 exons. The record is from RefSeq and is a predicted model, not a curated record.